This 433-nucleotide ribosomal RNA is filed under the name uncultured bacterium. Its description in RNAcentral is "partial 16S ribosomal RNA". It matches the Rfam family "Bacterial small subunit ribosomal RNA", at positions 29 to 507 of the family's 1533-position model. The record is from RNAcentral.
AACGAACGCUGGCGGCAUGCCUAACACAUGCAAGUCGAACGAGACCUUCGGGUCUAGUGGCGCACGGGUGCGUAACGCGUGGGAACCUGCCCUUAGGUUCGGAAUAACUCCCCGAAAGGGGUGCUAAUACCGGAUAAUGUCUUCGGACCAAAGAUUUAUCGCCUUUGGAUGGGCCCGCGUUGGAUUAGCUAGUUGGUAGGGUAAAAGCCUACCAAGGCGACGAUCCAUAGCUGGUCUGAGAGGAGGCUCAGCCACACUGGGACUGAGACACGGCCCAGACUCCUCCGGGAGGCAGCAGUGGGGAAUAUUGGACAAUGGGCGAAAGCCUGAUCCAGCAAUGCCGCGUGAGUGAUGAAGGCCUUAGGGUUGUAAAGCUCUUUUACCCGGGAUGAUAAUGACAGUACCGGGAGAAUAAGCUCCGGCUAACUCCGUG